This 840-nucleotide ribosomal RNA is filed under the name uncultured bacterium. RNAcentral's name for it is "SSU rRNA". It matches the Rfam family "Bacterial small subunit ribosomal RNA", at positions 524 to 1381 of the family's 1533-position model. The record is from RNAcentral.
UACGUAAGUCCCAAGCGUUACCCGGAAUUACUGGGUGUAAAGCGUUUGUAGGCUGCAAAAUAAGUUGGGUAUGAAAGACCGGAGCUCAACUCCGAGUUUGUAUUCAAAACUGUUUUGCUAGAAUCAGGGAGAGGUAAGCGGAAUUCUUAGUGUAGGGGUGCAAUCCGUAGAUACUAAGAGGAACACCAAAAGCGAAGGCAGCUUACUGGAACUGUAUUGACGCUCAGAAACGAAAGCGUGGGGAGCGAAAAGGAUUAGAUACCCUUGUAGUCCACGCCCUAAACGAUGAUAACUAAGUGUUUCUGCUUGACGGAAGUGCUGAAGCUAACGCGAUAAGUUAUCCACCUGAGGAGUACGGUCGCAAGAUUAAAACUCAAAGGAAUAGACGGGGACCCACACAAGCAGUGGAUCACGUGGUUUAAUUCGACAAUAAACGGGGAACCUUACCCAGACUUGACAUCUAGCGAAUCUUUCAGAGAUGAGAGAGUGCCUUUAUUGGAGCGCUAAGACAGGUGCUGCAUGGUUGUCGUCAGCUCGUGCCUUGAGGUGUCCGGUUAAGUCCGUUAACGAGCGCAACCCAUAUUCUUAGUUAUUAUGUCUAAGAAGACUGCCUUGGUUAACAAGGAGGAAGGUGUGGAUGACGUCAAAUCAGCAUGGCUUUUACGUCUGGGGCUACACACAUGAUACAAUGGUCUGUACAAAGAGCAGCAAUAUGGUAACAUUGAGCUAAUCUUUAAAGCAGAUCUCAGUCUGGAUUGAGGUCUGAAACUCGACCUCAUGAAGUUGGAAUUGCUAGUAAUCGUAAAUCAGACAUGUUACGGUGAAUGUGUUCCUGGGUCU